UACGGGGGGGGCAAGCGUUGUUCGGAAUUACUGGGCGUAAAGGGCUCGUAGGCGGCCAACUAAGUCGGACGUGAAAUCCCCAGGCUCAACCCUGGGAACUGCGUCCGAUACUGGAUGGCUUGAAUCCGGGAGAGGGAUGCAGAAUUCCAGGUGUAGCGGUGAAAUGCGUAGAUAUCUGGAGGAAUACCGGUGGCGAAGGCGGCAUCCUGGACCGGCAUUGACGCUGAGGAGCGAAAGCCAGGGGAGCAAACGGGG
Molecule: ribosomal RNA, 255 nt
Filed under: uncultured bacterium
Lineage: Bacteria
Description: partial 16S ribosomal RNA
Rfam family: Bacterial small subunit ribosomal RNA
Source: RNAcentral